GCUGGGCGAGGUGGUACAUGCCUGUAGUCCCAGCUACUCAGGAGGCUGAGGCUGGAGGAUCAUUUGAGUCCAGGAGUUCUGGGCUGUAGUGCGCUAUGCCGAUCGGGUGUCUGCACUAAGUUCGGCAUCAAUAUGGUGAACUCCUGGGAGCGGGGGACCACCAGGUUGCCUAAGGAGGCGUGAAGCAGCCCAGGUUGGAAAUGGAGCAGGUCAAAACUCCCGUGCUAGUCCGUAGUGGAAUAGCCACUGCACUCCAGCCUGGGCAACAUUGCAAGACCCCAUCCCU
Molecule: unclassified non-coding RNA, 286 nt
Organism: Aotus nancymaae (Ma's night monkey)
Lineage: Eukaryota; Metazoa; Chordata; Mammalia; Primates; Aotidae
Rfam family: Metazoan signal recognition particle RNA
About the family: The signal recognition particle (SRP) is a universally conserved ribonucleoprotein. It is involved in the co-translational targeting of proteins to membranes. The eukaryotic SRP consists of a 300-nucleotide 7S RNA and six proteins: SRPs 72, 68, 54, 19, 14, and 9.
Source: Ensembl